This 439-nucleotide ribosomal RNA is filed under the name uncultured bacterium. RNAcentral describes it as "partial 16S ribosomal RNA". It matches the Rfam family "Bacterial small subunit ribosomal RNA", at positions 339 to 795 of the family's 1533-position model. The record is from RNAcentral.
CUACGGGAUGCACCAGUGGGGAAUUUUGCGCAAUGGGGGAAACCCUGACGCAGCAAUACCGCGUGAGUGAAGAAGGCCUUUGGGUCGUAAAGCUCUUUUCUUGGGGAAGAUAGUGACGGUACCCAAGGAAUAAGCACCGGCUAACUCCGUGCCAGCAGUCGCGGUAAUACGGAGGGUGCAAGCGUUGUUCGGAUUUACUGGGCGUAAAGGGCACGUAGGCGGCACAGCAAGUUAAGGGUGAAAUCCCGGGGCUCAACUCCGGAACUGCUCUUAAAACUGCUGAGCUAGAGAUAGUCAGAGGCGGGUGGAAUUCCAGGUGUAGAGGUGAAAUUCGUAGAUAUCUGGAGGAACACCGGUGGCGAAGGCGGCCCGCUGGGGCUAUUCUGACGCUAAGGUGCGAAAGCGUGGGGAGCAAACGGGAUUAGAUACCCCAGUAGUC